CUACGGGGCGCAGCAGUGGGGAAUAUUGCACAAUGGGCGCAAGCCUGAUGCAGCCAUGCCGCGUGUAUGAAGAAGGCCUUCGGGUUGUAAAGUACUUUCAGCGGGGAGGAAGGGAGUAAAGUUAAUACCUUUGCUCAUUGACGUUACCCGCAGAAGAAGCACCGGCUAACUCCGUGCCAGCAGCCGCGGUAAUACGGAGGGUGCAAGCGUUAAUCGGAAUUACUGGGCGUAAAGCGCACGCAGGCGGCUUGUUAAGUCAGAUGUGAAAUCCCCGGGCUCAACCUGGGAACUGCAUCUGAUACCGGCAAGCUUGAGUCUCGUAGAGGGGGGUAGAAUUCCAGGUGUAGCGGUGAAAUGCGUAGAGAUCUGGAGGAAUACCGGUGGCGAAGGCGGCCCCCUGGACGAAGACUGACGCUCAGGUGCGAAAGCGUGGGGAGCAAACAGGAUUAGAUACCCUAGUAGUC
Molecule: ribosomal RNA, 464 nt
Filed under: uncultured bacterium
Lineage: Bacteria
Description: partial 16S ribosomal RNA
Rfam family: Bacterial small subunit ribosomal RNA
Source: RNAcentral